CUGCGCCCCUGACCGGGAUGGCUGCGAAGAGAGGGACCAAGACCAGCAUGAAGAACAUGGAGAAGGAACUGCUGUGCCCAGUGUGUCAAGAGAUGUACAAGCAGCCACUGGUGCUGCCCUGUACCCACAACGUGUGCCAGGCCUGUGCCCGAGAGGUCUUGGGCCAGCAGGGCUACAUAGGACAUGGUGGGGACCCCAGCUCCGAGCCCACCUCUCCUGCCUCCACCCCUUCCACCCGCAGCCCCCGCCUCUCCCGCAGAACUCUCCCCAAGCCAGACCGCCUGGACCGGCUGCUUAAGUCAGGCUUUGGGACAUACCCUGGGAGGAAACGAGGUGCUUUGCACCCCCAAGUGAUCAUGUUCCCGUGCCCAGCCUGCCAAGGUGAUGUGGAGCUUGGGGAGCGGGGUCUGGCAGGGCUUUUCCGGAACCUGACCCUGGAGCGUGUGGUGGAGCGGUACCGCCAGAGUGUGAGUGUGGGAGGCGCCAUCCUGUGCCAGUUGUGCAAGCCCCCACCACUAGAGGCCACCAAGGGCUGCACAGAGUGCCGCGCCACCUUCUGCAAUGAGUGCUUCAAGCUCUUCCACCCCUGGGGCACCCAGAAGGCCCAGCAUGAGCCCACCCUGCCUACCCUCUCCUUCCGACCCAAGGGCCUUAUGUGCCCAGACCACAAGGAAGAGGUGACCCACUACUGCAAGACAUGCCAACGCCUGGUAUGUCAACUCUGCCGGGUGCGGCGCACCCACAGCGGGCACAAGAUCACACCAGUGCUCAGUGCCUACCAGGCCCUCAAGGACAAGCUGACAAAGAGCCUGACAUACAUCCUGGGAAACCAGGACACGGUACAGACCCAGAUCUGUGAGCUGGAGGAGGCCGUGAGGCACACCGAGGUGAGUGGUCAGCAGGCCAAGGAGGAGGUGUCGCAGCUGGUGCGGGGGCUGGGAGCUGUGCUGGAGGAGAAGCGGGCAUCACUGCUUCAGGCCAUUGAAGAAUGCCAGCAGGAGCGGCUGGCCCGUCUCAGCGCCCAGAUCCAGGAGCACCGGAG
Molecule: small RNA, 1042 nt
Filed under: Pan troglodytes (chimpanzee)
Lineage: Eukaryota; Metazoa; Chordata; Mammalia; Primates; Hominidae
Description: processed transcript
Source: RNAcentral